UCAGUGUUGUAUUUUCUGCAUGGCGUGUCUACAUUCUGCCCUUGGGCAAGACCGUGUCUACUGAAGUGGCCCUCCUUGAGGCACAGAUACAGGUUAGGGAGGGACUGCAGCUAGCUCAACCUGGGUAUAUUACCCUUGUGGCUGACCACGGAGCCGCUGAACUAUAGGGAAAAUGAGAUUAAUUACAGGAAAUGGAGACACAUCAAAGGCAAGGAAAUAGCAGAUCAGAAGCUUCUGGUUAAAGGGACCGAGUUGAGAACAAAUGGGGGUCAUGUCGAAGUCAACAAAGACAGAGGUCAAAACAGAAAGGAGUGAAGCCAGGUUGGAAGAAGGCUAGUGCCGCUCUCAAAGUUUGGAACCUGCUGUCAGGACCCAAGACGAUGACAGCAGGAGAGCAAGACAUUCAAGGGGAGACUGGGCCACCAACAUUCAAUCAGAGGAGUGCAGAACGAUGGCCCCACAGGGCGAAACUGUCAUUCGGUUCUCAGAGAGAAGACCUCAGCCAGGAGCUCGUCAAGGGCUCCCCCCAUGGCACCCAGGCUGCUCCCCACUACCACGUGCACGGGAUUCUCCGUCUCCCUCUCUCUUGCCUCCUGCUUCCCUCUAACUCUGCCCAUCAUUCCCAAUCUCAACCUCCCUUGUCCCGUCUCCGUUCCUCUCUCUUAUGAAACACACUCCCCUCUGCUUCCACAGUGCGAAGUUCUGCUUGGCCCCUGGAAGUCUGCUCGCCAGUGUGGUUCCUCCCCACCCCCCCCCACCCCCCUUUUUCAGGGUCAUUCAAGUGCAAACAGAGAAGAGUAACAGAUUAUAAUGCAGCCCAAUUAAAGUCCUCCGGACGUCACAAGGUACUAAUGUCAACAUAUCGUUUCAGCAGCUGCGCACGACCAGGAAAAAGAAAGUUGAUUUUUGUUUUCUGUUUUCUUUUCCAAAAUCUGAAAGCCUAAAGAGGCUUCCUAGAAACCCGCCGCAGAAAGACGAGACAGAGCGACAAGACAGAGUGCGGGAAAGCACGAACUAUGCGGAUGCGGAGCUCCUGGGAAGCCAUCUCUAAGGACGGGAUGGGUUUGAUGAGAGACUCAUCAGAGGACCCGGAUGCUCGGCUUUUAACUUAUUUUUGCAAAGCAGGUAUUUUUGCAAACAAGAAUUAGAGAACGGCCUCCAGCUAAAUUGCAGGGAGUCCCUGAAGAGCAAACCCUCAGAGGGGAGAAUCAGUGAAGAAGAAAAUGGAGAUGACAAGGCUGUUGCUUCUUAAUAAACAUGAUCACAUUUUCGGCAUG
Molecule: long non-coding RNA, 1277 nt
Organism: Neofelis nebulosa (Clouded leopard)
Lineage: Eukaryota; Metazoa; Chordata; Mammalia; Carnivora; Felidae
Exons: 2
Source: RefSeq, a predicted model, not a curated record